GGCGGUUCUGCUGACCACCGUUGUUCCAGCCCCUCAUCUGUCUGCCAGUCUCCAUCGUUCCAGUCUUGGCCCGCCAUCUCCCAGCCGAGCCGAGAGCCGUGGGGAAAACUUCAAAAUUGCAGUCAACGGUCGGCAGAAUGAAUGGGAAAAGACCGGGAGUAGAGUGAAUCAUAACAUCCUGUUUCUAGAAAGCCUCACCUGACCUCAGAGC
Perca flavescens (yellow perch) is the source of this 211-nucleotide long non-coding RNA. RefSeq lists it as uncharacterized. The record is from RefSeq and is a predicted model, not a curated record. Lineage: Eukaryota; Metazoa; Chordata; Actinopteri; Perciformes; Percidae. The transcript is spliced from 3 exons.